Molecule: long non-coding RNA, 1485 nt
Organism: Gambusia affinis (western mosquitofish)
Lineage: Eukaryota; Metazoa; Chordata; Actinopteri; Cyprinodontiformes; Poeciliidae
Exons: 2
Source: RefSeq, a predicted model, not a curated record
AAAGGCAACAUACUGCAAUGACAAAGUAAAGUCCAAAUGAACAUGAACACCCAUGUACAUGGAGUCUCUCUGGUAGUAUUACACAAUCCGUCCAGGUCAAAGAUCAAGAGAAAAGCAGCAGCCUGGUUUUUAGUGAGUGUAAGAAGAUACAGUGGUCUUAUAUAUAAGAGAAAGAGAAUUUCACACAUAGCAGAAGUCCAAGCUGGACUGAUAUAUUAUAGCCUCACUAGAAGAGGGAGCUACUCUGAGGAAACAAUAUUAGACUGUGAAAACAUAGUCGGGUCAUUCAUAUUCAAAGUUUAUACCAAAUGCUAUUUUUUGUUUGUUUUUUUUCCUCAUUUAUUGUUUUUCUGUAGUAGAAGAAGACCACUGAAAAGAUAAGAACUGAUAAUUCUCAUAAUAAAAUUAAAUAUUUUGUUGAGUUAACCUGCAUUCAGUGGCCUUUAUCAGACAAAGGAGAGAGAGGGUGAAUCAGUCAUCUGUGGACAAAACUGGGGAAAAAAUAUUGUUCCGAUAUAUAUGCAUGUACUUUGUGUUAAAUCAACUUUGGCAAAUUUUGCACAGUGCAGGUCACAUCACUGACACACAUUAACUUGAACCAACCAAUAUGGUCUCUCUGUUACAAUGAUUGUCAUUGUAAAGGUGGAAAAACAUCACGACGGUUUGGAAAACUCAGUUUUGUUUGAUCAAGAAUAUGUGGAUGGCCAGUAAUGCAUAUUUUCAGGCUAUGCACCUUAAAAUCGAUUAAUUCCAAUAACCCAGUCUGUUCAUGGUAUUCCAAUAACAAGUUUGGGAGUUGAGUUUAGUCAUAGACUGAAACAAAUAAUUUAAGACGGCCUUGAUUGGUAAUCUUGGAAUGAUAUUCGGAGAUUCCUGUUGGUAAAUAACUGGAUCUAUUAAAGGAAGACAAAGGUGAACAUUAAAUACCAACAUAGAGAGCUUAGACAAAUUCUGCAUCAGGUCUACAUUGAUACAAUUCUUGGAUAAAAUUUGAGAAGUCAGUUUCUCAUCUUACUGAAAGCAUUGGUAAAAUAUUCCAGAUUUUUCCAAAAUUUUUCUGAAAGCAGUAUUGCUGAAUUUACAUUCAAUUUGAUCAAAGCUAACUGAAUCAGUUCCGCUUUUUUCUCAUCCACAUUUUAUUAGAUGCCAUUUGGAGGAUUCCCUUUCACAAUAAUUGUAAACCAUAGUCUCAAAUAGCUGCAUUUACAUGUGAUGCACUAUUUAUACUCCAUGGCACAUUGUCAAAUGGUGUAUUUGUGUGAGUGCAGUACCAUCUCCACCCAGCUGGCACGUGGCUCACAGAAAAUCAAGCACACCUGUCUCUCACUCAGGCCUUCAAGAGCCUAUAAGGCAACUCAGCACACCUGUGUUGAAAUAAUCUCUACAAACAAAGACCUCAUCUUUAAGCUCCUGCAGAAACACCACUGGUUUUCAACCUGCUUGGGUGUCAUGUAUUGGAAAGUACAGUGAUUUAAAGAAAAAAGA